CAGCAGCCGCGGUAAUACGAAGGGUGCAAGCGUUAAUCGGAAUUACUGGGUGUAAAGCGUGCGUAGGCGGUUUGUUAAGUCUGUUGUGAAAUCCCCGGGCUCAACCUGGGAAUGGCAAUGGAUACUGGCAAGCUAGAGUGUGUCAGAGGAUGGUGGAAUUCCCGGUGUAGCGGUGAAAUGCGUAGAGAUCGGGAGGAACAUCAGUGGCGAAGGCGGCCAUCUGGGACAACACUGACGCUGAGGCACGAAAGCGUGGGGAGCAAACAGGAUUAGAUACCCCGGUAGUCCCUGUCUCUUAUAC
RNAcentral lists this ribosomal RNA (301 nucleotides) under uncultured bacterium. RNAcentral describes it as "partial 16S ribosomal RNA". It matches the Rfam family "Bacterial small subunit ribosomal RNA", at positions 509 to 807 of the family's 1533-position model. The record is from RNAcentral.